ACAAAUUGUCUGAUUCAUUUUGAUUAAGUUUCCUUCCUCUUAAUCUAGAAGUUAUUCUCAGAUACAAGGAAAUUAUUCCAGUAAAUCUUUCAGUUCC
Cucurbita maxima (winter squash) is the source of this 97-nucleotide long non-coding RNA. RefSeq lists it as uncharacterized. NCBI's taxonomy places the organism in Eukaryota, Viridiplantae, Streptophyta, Magnoliopsida, Cucurbitales, Cucurbitaceae. The transcript has 3 exons. The record is from RefSeq and is a predicted model, not a curated record.